Molecule: long non-coding RNA, 498 nt
Organism: Hippoglossus stenolepis (Pacific halibut)
Lineage: Eukaryota; Metazoa; Chordata; Actinopteri; Pleuronectiformes; Pleuronectidae
Exons: 3
Source: RefSeq, a predicted model, not a curated record
GAAGAAUGAAAAAUGGUGGAGGGCAGAUAAGAACCUCCGAGGAUCAAGCUCACGGUUAAAGCUGCGUACAGGACGCCCGGUGGUUCACCUGGUUGAGCAGAGUCCUACUGCAGCAGCCACAGGAUUACAGCAGAUCCAGCUUCCUUCCUGCUUCUUACUCGCACUCCUCAGGAAUCCAAGCUCCUUCCACCGCUGCUCCGGAUGAGUCCGACCAAAAUGCAAAUGUAAAUUCUUGCACGAGGAGGCCAGAGGUCGGAGUCGGCAUUCAGUGCCUUGCUGAAGGGCCCUUGAGCAAGGAGGUUUGAACCCGAGUCCUCCAGCGGAAGAACCUCUCCUUGCUCCGCACUCAAGGCCAAACUACUAACCAGGGGAAAGUUAAAUAAAUAAAAUGAAAGAAGCAUAAAUAAUCACUGGUGAGCACAGAGCAGCAUCGUAUUCUGAUUUCAAUGUGGGGGAAAUGAAGGAAAGGAGGAGAGGAGGAGAGGAGGAGAGGAGGAG